AUUGAACGCUGGCGGCAGGCCUAACACAUGCAAGUCGAGCGGAUGAAGGGAGCUUGCUCCUGGAUUCAGCGGCGGACGGGUGAGUAAUGCCUAGGAAUCUGCCUGGUAGUGGGGGAUAACGUCCGGAAACGGGCGCUAAUACCGCAUACGUCCAGAGGGAGAAAGUGGGGGAUCUUCGGACCUCACGCUAUCAGAUGAGCCUAGGUCGGAUUAGCUAGUUGGUGGGGUAAAGGCCUACCAAGGCGACGAUCCGUAACUGGUCUGAGAGGAUGAUCAGUCACACUGGAACUGAGACACGGUCCAGACUCCUACGGGAGGCAGCAGUGGGGAAUAUUGGACAAUGGGCGAAAGCCUGAUCCAGCCAUGCCGCGUGUGUGAAGAAGGUCUUCGGAUUGUAAAGCACUUUAAGUUGGGAGGAAGGGCAGUAAGUUAAUCCCUUGCUGUUUUGACGUUACCAACAGAAUAAGCACCGGCUAACUUCGUG
RNAcentral lists this ribosomal RNA (484 nucleotides) under uncultured bacterium. RNAcentral's name for it is "partial 16S ribosomal RNA". It matches the Rfam family "Bacterial small subunit ribosomal RNA", at positions 30 to 507 of the family's 1533-position model. The record is from RNAcentral.